UAAAGAUUCAUCGGCUGCGGAUGGCCAUGCGGCGCAUUAGCUAGUCGGCGGGGUAACGGCCCACCGAGGCGACGAUGCGUAGGGGUUCUGAGAGGAAGGUCCCCCACACUGGUACUGAGACACGGACCAGACUCCUACGGGAGGCAGCAGUGAGGAAUAUUGGUCAAUGGCCGGGAGGCUGAACCAGCCAAGUCGCGUGAGGGAAGACGGCCCUACGGGUUGUAAACCUCUUUUGUCAGGGAGCAAGAGGCGGGUCGAGACCUGCUGUGAGAGUACCUGAAGAAAAAGCAUCGGCUAACUCCGUGCCAGCAGCCGCGGUAAUACGGAGGAUGCGAGCGUUAUCCGGAUUUAUUGGGUUUAAAGGGUGCGCAGGCGGAGGCACAAGUCAGCGGUAAAAUCGCGGGGCUCAACCCCGCUCCGCCGUUGAAACUGUGUCCCUUGAGUGCGCGAAGGGUAGGCGGAAUGCGUGGUGUAGCGGUGAAAUGCAUAGAUAUCACGCAGAACUCCGAUCGCGAAGGCAGCCUACCGGCGCGCAACUGACGCUCAUGCACGAAAGCGUGGGUAUCGAGCAGGAUUAGAUACCCUGGUAGUCCACGCAGUAAACGAUGAAUGCUAUCUGUCCGGCCGGAAUGACGGCUGG
Molecule: ribosomal RNA, 640 nt
Filed under: uncultured bacterium
Lineage: Bacteria
Description: bacterial SSU rRNA
Rfam family: Bacterial small subunit ribosomal RNA
Source: RNAcentral